Molecule: long non-coding RNA, 1988 nt
Organism: Ctenopharyngodon idella (grass carp)
Lineage: Eukaryota; Metazoa; Chordata; Actinopteri; Cypriniformes; Xenocyprididae
Exons: 6
Source: RefSeq, a predicted model, not a curated record
UGUUUAGAUAUUUGUGCUGGAAAACAAGACAAGAAGAACAUCAUUUUUUUGCAGUGAAUUUGCAACUAAAAUCCUACGCUUUCAGACAAACAACUGAAACAGUGCUGAAGAAAGACACUUCUUCGGUCAAGCAUUGAAGUGUUUACUUUCCUCCUAGACAGACAGCAUGCAUCACGGAGCUCCUACCAAACACGCUGAAGUGAGUAAAUCAACAGAGACGGACCGGUUACCUGUUGUGAAGGUGUCGACACGCGGACGCUGCAAGUUUGAGCCAGCGAUCCACCGUCCGGCGGAAAAAGAAGAAGAAGUGAGAGUGCUGGUACGAUUCCCUUUGGAUGUAACAAGAAGCGAGGAUCCCUGGACGCGAGCGGAUCAGUCCUCCUGCGGCAGGCAGCUGACGGAGCGCAGAAGACACACUUUGCUUGCUGCCGUUAGGUCAUGCUCAAAGUAUGUCUGUGCAAUGUUCUGCAAGCUCAGGGAAACCACAUCCUCUGACAUACCUCCUCUAUCCUGCUGCCUGCGUGCCGUCUGUGUCUCUCUCGCUCUCUCUGACUGUCUGAGAUGACAGACCGAGCUGACCCAGACACAGUUCACUCCCUCUCUCUCUCUCUCUCUCUCUCUCUAGGCUUCUUCAGCAACCGACACAGUUCCUGCCCACCAACUGAAGAAUCCAGCUGAGGAGGAGGUGCUGAGAACGAGCGAGCGAGCGAGGAGAGGGAGGGAGACGGAUAAAAGGGAGAAAAGAGAGGGGGAGCAGUUCUUUUAGAAAUUACAGUGAAAUAAAAAAAACAAUGAGGACCAUAACCGAGGACUGUCUGGAGCGAUGAAAGAGCGUCCUCAGAGCGGUCACCUUCUCCUCUGGGGAGGAUUGUGGUUGUUCUGGGCUGAGAGGGUCUGUGUCUGCCGGCCCCGGUAGUGAGAUGUAUUUUUCAUAAGGCCCAGCCGUGGCCCCCUAUAGCUGUGAAUCCAUUAUUCAGAGCGGUCUGUGAGCGAGGGGACAGACACAUGCACAUACACACCCUGCCCAAAUCACAGCGGCCCGGUCCGAAUCACACCAUGAUCACUGCACUGCAGAUGAUUGACGCUCCAGUUUCAAAGGCUGUUGAUAGUGAUUUUAUGCACAGCAGACAACACCGCUGACCCCAGGACACAAAUUAAUGACACGAGCCCAGAUCAGAGAGUCUUUCUGGAACAGGAAACCUUGUGGCGAGCGAUGCCUGUCUCAAGUACAAUCGCUGAUAACUGCUCAUCAUGAGGUUCUUUAGACAUCGCCUCAUUCUUCUGCAGGUUAAUUCACGGUGUUCUUUAAACUAAACCUACACCCUCGUGUUUACACUCUCAUGUUUGCUUCUACUAUUAAACUCUGAGGUUUUGUAUAGCUUUAUGAACAUAUUGCUCAAGUGGUGUCACAUGUCACUGCUGACAUGGGAACAUGUUUUUGAGCCCAUUAAGAUGCUGGGAGUAUAAGAACAGUAGUGACCCUCACAACAUCUCAGACGCCUCGACUCAGACGGGCAGUUUGCUGAACAGAAGGACGCAAAAUGUUUGCAGUGACAGUUUGUAUUUUGGGAUUGCUCUAUACGAGCUCUGCCUGCAGCUUGGUGAGUUUAAAUUUAAUAAAUUGCUAUUUUACUCAUGAUACUUCGUUAUUUAUAUUAAUGCCGAUUAUAUACAUUACCAAUGAAACGUUUGUACUCAUUUGAGUGAAUUUAUAAUCAUCUUAAAAUAUUUCAAUCUUGAAAUGUUCACCUAUAUGUUCAAAUUUCUUCACAAAACUACUUAGAAAUGGAUGAUUUGGAGCAGAUAUUGAAUAAAAAACAGCUAGAGAAAAAAUAUAAAGAAUAAGUAGGUGUGUUCAAACUUUUGAUUGGUAGUGUAUAUGAAUAAAAUCUAAGCAUUAUGGUCAAUAAUAAUGAUAAUAAUAUAUUUUGUGAUGUGAUGAAAUGAUCUAACAAAAAUAUCCAUCCAUUGCAUGUCUCAUUUCUGUG